UACGGAGGGUGCAAGCGUUAUCCGGAUUCACUGGGUUUAAAGGGUGUGUAGGCGGGCAAUUAAGCCAGUGGUGAAAUCUCCAGGCUCAACCUGGAAACUGCCAUUGAUACCAUUUGUCUUGAAUACUGUUGAGGUAGGCGGAAUAUGUCAUGUAGCGGUGAGAUGCAUAGAUAUGACAUAGAACACCAAUUGCGAAGGCAGCUUACUAAGCAGUGAUUGACGCUGAGGCACGAAAGCGUGGGGAUCAAACAGG
This 253-nucleotide ribosomal RNA is filed under the name uncultured bacterium. Its description in RNAcentral is "partial 16S ribosomal RNA". It matches the Rfam family "Bacterial small subunit ribosomal RNA", at positions 524 to 776 of the family's 1533-position model. The record is from RNAcentral.